AUUGAACGCUGGCGGCAGGCUUAACACAUGCAAGUCGAGCGGGGGAAGGUAGCUUGCUACCGGACCUAGCGGCGGACGGGUGAGUAAUGCUUAGGAAUCUGCCUAUUAGUGGGGGACAACAUCUCGAACGGGAUGCUAAUACCGCAUACGUCCUACGGGAGAACGCAGGGGAACUUCGGACCUUCCGCUAAUAGAUGACCCUAAGUAGGAUUAGCUAGUUGGUGGGGUAAAGGCCUACCAAGGCGACGAGCUGUAGCGGGUCUGAGAGGACGAUCCGCCGCACUGGGACUGAGACACGGCCCAGACGCCUACGGGAGGCAGCGGUGGGAAAUAUUGGACAAUGGGGGGAACCCUGAUCCAGCCAUGCCGCGUGUGUGAAGAAGGCCUUAUGGUUGUAAAGCACUUUAAGCGAGGAGGAGGCUACUCUAGUUAAUACCUAGGGAUAGUGGACGUUACUCGCAGAAUAAGCACCGGCUAACUCUGUGCCAGCAGCCGCCGUAA
RNAcentral lists this ribosomal RNA (501 nucleotides) under uncultured bacterium. RNAcentral's name for it is "partial 16S ribosomal RNA". It matches the Rfam family "Bacterial small subunit ribosomal RNA", at positions 30 to 523 of the family's 1533-position model. The record is from RNAcentral.